UGGGGAAUUUUGGACAAUGGGGGCAACCCUGAUCCAGCAAUGCCGCGUGUGUGAAGAAGGCCUUCGGGUUGUAAAGCACUUUUGUCCGGAAAGAAAUCGCCCUGGCUAAUAUCCGGGGUGGAUGACGGUACUGGAAGAAUAAGCACCGGCUAACUACGUGCCAGCAGCCGCGGUAAUACGUAGGGUGCAAGCGUUAAUCGGAAUUACUGGGCGUAAAGCGUGCGCAGGCGGUUGUGCAAGACAGAUGUGAAAUCCCCGGGCUUAACCUGGGAAUGGCAUUUGUGACUGCACGGCUAGAGUGUGUCAGAGGGGGGUAGAAUUCCACGUGUAGCAGUGAAAUGCGUAGAUAUGUGGAGGAACACCGAUGGCGAAGGCAGCCCCCUGGGAUAACACUGACGCUCAUGCACGAAAGCGUGGGGAGCAAACAGGAUUAGAUACCCUGGUAGUCCACGCCCUAAACGAUGUCAACUAGUUGUCGGGUCUUAAUUGACUUGGUAACGCAGCU
RNAcentral lists this ribosomal RNA (505 nucleotides) under uncultured bacterium. RNAcentral's name for it is "partial 16S ribosomal RNA". It matches the Rfam family "Bacterial small subunit ribosomal RNA", at positions 355 to 853 of the family's 1533-position model. The record is from RNAcentral.